Molecule: long non-coding RNA, 801 nt
Filed under: Nicotiana benthamiana
Lineage: Eukaryota; Viridiplantae; Streptophyta; Magnoliopsida; Solanales; Solanaceae
Description: long non-coding RNA (NBEN_LNC020054)
Source: RNAcentral
UUUUGGGGUUGAGUUAGGCCCAAGGUCCAUUCUUAUCAAAAAUUAAAAUUAAUUAAAUUUUUUCUUUUUUACUUUGAAUAAUCGAUUAUAUACAUUCACAUUUAGUAAGAAUAUGAAUAAUUUAUUUAUAUAUAUAUAAAGUUGGGCAAUUAAAAAGCUGGUGUGGCAUUUCUCUUCGGCCACCAUUCUUUUUUAUCUUUUUUCUCAAAUUUUCACAACUUUUUCCUCUGUUUUCCCUUCUUCUAUUAAUUUUCGCUUCUGAUGUCAAAUCCUUUACAUAAAGUUUCAGUUUUGAAAUUAAUUGUUCUUUCAGUACAGCUUUAUGCAAUCAUGGAUUUUUCCCAAAAAAACUCAGUUACGCUUUUAUAUAUGCACCACUUAUUACAUUAUUUAAUAAAAUCUUCAUCACUAUAUUUUUAAACCACUAUAUAAACAAACACAGUAUAUCCAAAUACCAUGCAUGAUGGUUUAGCAUAAAUAGGUUUAUUGCUCUGAUGAAGGAGGUCAUGGGACAAGCCAAUAACAAUUCAAGAUCAUUUUCUAAUAUCAUUUUCUUCCUUUCGCUAGGAGUUUAAAGUUUGAUGGAUAUCAUAGGGGAUGAAGCAAGCGACGAAGAAAGGAAGCGGGCGAUCAGAAGCAUUGUGUUCUUCACUGAAGCAACAACCAUUUUGAUAUAUUUUUUACAUAGACUUGUGUGAAUGUAGCAAUUUUGUUUCUACAUGAAAGUUUCACUUCCCUCUCAUGUUUUCCCAUUGAAGCACUUUGAUUGUUGACAUACUAAAAAUGAACACUUCGAAUUGA